GAUCCUGGCUCAGGAUGAACGCUAGCGACAGGCCUAACACAUGCAAGUCGAGGGGCAGCGGGGAGGUAGCAAUACCUUUGCCGGCGACCGGCGCACGGGUGAGUAACACGUAUGCAAUCCACCUGUAACAGGGGGAUAACCCGGAGAAAUCCGGGGCUAAUACCCCAUAAAUAUGGGCGCUCCGCAUGGAGAGUUCAUUAAAAGAGAGCAAUUUUGGUUACAGACGAGCAUGCGCUCCAUUAG
This 243-nucleotide ribosomal RNA is filed under the name uncultured bacterium. Its description in RNAcentral is "partial 16S ribosomal RNA". It matches the Rfam family "Bacterial small subunit ribosomal RNA", at positions 15 to 244 of the family's 1533-position model. The record is from RNAcentral.